GGCCUGCUGGCGCAAUUGGUUAGCGCGUCGAGCUAAUAACUCGAAGGCUCUGAGUUCAAGCCUCAGGUGGGCCA
RNAcentral lists this transfer RNA (74 nucleotides) under Auricularia subglabra TFB-10046 SS5. It matches the Rfam family "tRNA". From Rfam's summary of the family: Transfer RNA (tRNA) molecules are approximately 80 nucleotides in length. The record is from Rfam by way of RNAcentral. Lineage: Eukaryota; Fungi; Basidiomycota; Agaricomycetes; Auriculariales; Auriculariaceae.